Molecule: non-coding RNA, 30 nt
Filed under: Homo sapiens (human)
Lineage: Eukaryota; Metazoa; Chordata; Mammalia; Primates; Hominidae
Source: RNAcentral
AACAAAUUCAUAUCUGAAACGAGCGGAGGC